This 375-nucleotide ribosomal RNA is filed under the name Triticum aestivum (bread wheat). Its description in RNAcentral is "partial small subunit ribosomal RNA". The record is from RNAcentral. Lineage: Eukaryota; Viridiplantae; Streptophyta; Magnoliopsida; Poales; Poaceae.
AUGGCACAGGCGCAAGCUCCUGACGACGGCGGCGACGACGCGGCCGUGGAGCAGUGCCCGAUCUGCAUGCAGGAGCUGGUGGCCAACAACCGUGGAUCCGUCAAGAGAUUGCCCGGCUGCUUGCACUCCUUCCACGAAAGCUGCAUCCUACAGUGGUUCUGCAUGGCGACGACGUGCCCGUGCUGCCGGCACGACCUGGCAACGUACAUCCGCCGCGUGUACGGGGUGAUCACGCCGCCAGCGUCCUCCUCGGAGACAGCGGCUCCGUUCAACAUGCGGCAGCAACAGAUGCCGGCAGGGGUUUCUUACAGCCCCGUAGGACCAUUGACGCCGGUGCAUGAUGGACCCUUGUUCCAGCGUCUGGGCUCUGUCUAG